Molecule: long non-coding RNA, 1273 nt
Organism: Amphimedon queenslandica
Lineage: Eukaryota; Metazoa; Porifera; Demospongiae; Haplosclerida; Niphatidae
Exons: 4
Source: RefSeq, a predicted model, not a curated record
UAUUUCUAUUAGGAACUUGCUGAGAGUUGUCUAACUAGUGCCCCUGAUACUGAUGAAAAUGAAGAAGAGUAUUCUGAUGAUGAUGAUGAUGAUGAUGAAGAAGAUGAAGAUUAUAAAUUAUAUGCUAAUCUAUCCGCUGGACAAACUGACAGUGAAAGAGCAAAACUUGAUAAAAUCCUGAGCAAGACAUUAGCAUCAUCUAUUGAAGACAGCAAACCAACGUUUCAAAAAUUAUUCAAGCUCCUUUCAGAGAUAGCAUAUCGUUGGGAGAUACUUGGUGGUUUUCUCGGUGUCUCGUCCAGCGUAUUGGGUGAAUUAGCUGAACAGCCAGGAAGGGAUCCUAAGCCAAAACUUAACAGGGUACUGCAAUGCUGGCUGAACAAGGAAACUUCUUUUCCAACAUGGAGAGAAGUGAUUGAUGUCCUCGACAAUCACAUGGGAAAUGGGGAUAUAGCGCAUAAUGUUAGAUGUUCACUUGGUAUAAAAAAGACGUAGAAAUUGUGUCUUUGUUAAACAAAAAUUCCUUUUUUAAAUGUAGAUCUAACUAUGGUUUUUAUAACUAAUCAAACCAUUUGAUUAAUUGUGCUACUAUUUUUUAACACUACAAGCAUAACUUCAGUUUUAAAUUAAUAGUUAAUUUUAAACCAUUGCUAUAGUUAAUUUUUUCUUUUGUAUCAAUUGAUUGUGGUCUGCUUAGGUAUUAUUAAAUGCAAUUAAAAUUUAAUGUUAACAGUUUUUGUUAACUUUUAGAAAAAGGUAUCCCUCAUUCCCUCCAGACUUGUUCAACAGCUUUAGCAUUCAUAUCCUUUUUUGCCCAUAUAUAUAUACUUCUUUGAGUUCUUUCUAUACAUUACCUGAAAAACUCAGACAAUUAAUGGCAAUAAUAUAUCAUAUAAUAGACCUUCACUGGUUACAACUGUAAAGAUGAAGGUGGCAAUCUCAAGCAAGCAAAUAAAGGCUAUAAUCUCAAAGAACGACAGUGACAUGUUUGUUGAGAAUAUUUAUGAUGAUGCUUCACUUCCUAAUCCUGAAGGUUCAAUUCACAGUUUAUAGUUCAAGAAUAGUGAUAGUAGAGAAGUCUGUGAAAAUGAGAAUCAAUCCAAAAGUUCGUGUGGUCAACUCAAAAAUGAAGUACUUGAAGUUUCUAAAGAAACUCAUCUGUAAUUGUAAUAAUUGUAUACUGAGAGAGUAAUUGAUAUUUUAAUCUUUUGUUGAUUUGUGCAUUUACCCACAUGUUCAUUGUGGAUAUCAUGGUUUUUUUUAAUAAAAAUUG